CCAACAGGGAUUGCCUCAGUAACGGCGAGUGAAGCGGCAACAGCUCAAAUUUGAAAUCUGGCCCUAGGCCCGAGUUGUAAUUUGCAGAGGAUGCUUUUGGUGCGGUGCCUUCCAAGUUCCCUAGAACGGGACGCCAGAGAGGGUGAGAGCCCCGUACAGUUGGACACCAAGCCUUUGUAAAGCUCCUUCGACGAGUCGAGUAGUUUGGGAAUGCUGCUCAAAAUGGGAGGUAUAUUUCUUCUAAAGCUAAAUACCGGCCAGAGACCGAUAGCGCACAAGUAGAGUGAUCGAAAGAUGAAAAGCACUUUGAAAAGAGGGUUAAACAGCACGUGAAAUUGUUAAAAGGGAAGCGCUUGUGACCAGACUUGCGUCCGGUGAAUCACCCAGCUCUCGCGGCUGGGGCACUUCGCCGGCUCAGGCCAGCAUCAGCUCGCUGUCGGGGACAAAAGCUUCGGGAACGUAGCUCUCUUCGGGGAGUGUUAUAGCCUGUUGCACAAUACCCUUCGGCGGGCUGAGGUACGCGCUCCGCAAGGAUGCUGGCAUAAUGGUCAUCAGCGACCCGUCUUGAAACACGGACCAAGGAGUCAACCUUAUGUGCGAGUGUUCGGGUGUCAAACCCCUACGCGUAAUGAAAGUGAACGCAGGUGAGAGCUUCGGCGCAUCAUCGACCGAUCCUGAUGUUCUCGGAUGGAUUUGAGUAAGAGCAUAUAGGGUUGGACCCGAAAGAAGGUGAACUAUGCGUGUAUAGGGUGAAGCCAGAGGAAACUCUGGUGGAGGCUCGCAGCGGUUCUGACGUGCAAAUCGAUCGUCAAAUAUGCGCAUGGGGGCGAAAGACUAAUCGAA
RNAcentral lists this ribosomal RNA (843 nucleotides) under Colletotrichum fragariae. Its description in RNAcentral is "LSU rRNA". It matches the Rfam family "Eukaryotic large subunit ribosomal RNA", at positions 65 to 939 of the family's 3401-position model. The record is from RNAcentral. Lineage: Eukaryota; Fungi; Ascomycota; Sordariomycetes; Glomerellales; Glomerellaceae.